UCUCCUGGAAACGGGUGGUAAUGCCGGAUGCUCCAUCACACCGCAUGGUGUGUUGGGAAAGCCUUUGCGGCAUGGGAUGGGGUCGCGUCCUAUCAGCUUGAUGGCGGGGUAACGGCCCACCAUGGCUUCGACGGGUAGCCGGCCUGAGAGGGCGACCGGCCACAUUGGGACUGAGAUACGGCCCAGACUCCUACGGGAGGCAGCAGUGGGGAAUAUUGCACAAUGGGCGCAAGCCUGAUGCAGCGACGCCGCGUGAGGGAUGGAGGCCUUCGGGUUGUAAACCUCUUUUGUUAGGGAGCAAGGCACUUUGUGUUGAGUGUACCUUUCGAAUAAGCACCGGCUAACUACGUGCCAGCAGCCGCGGUAAUACGUAGGGUGCAAGCGUUAUCCGGAAUUAUUGGGCGUAAAGGGCUCGUAGGCGGUUCGUCGCGUCCGGUGUGAAAGUCCAUCGCUUAACGGUGGAUCCGCGCCGGGUACGGGCGGGCUUGAGUGCGGUAGGGGAGACUGGAAUUCCCGGUGUAACGGUGGAAUGUGUAGAUAUCGGGAAAGAACACCA
Molecule: ribosomal RNA, 556 nt
Filed under: Bifidobacterium breve
Lineage: Bacteria; Bacillati; Actinomycetota; Actinomycetes; Bifidobacteriales; Bifidobacteriaceae
Description: bacterial SSU rRNA
Rfam family: Bacterial small subunit ribosomal RNA
Source: RNAcentral